RNAcentral lists this long non-coding RNA (1134 nucleotides) under Dicentrarchus labrax (European seabass). RNAcentral describes it as "lncRNA (ENSDLAG00005027385.1)". Lineage: Eukaryota; Metazoa; Chordata; Actinopteri; Moronidae. The record is from RNAcentral.
CCUAAAAUUGUUCUAUAUAGUAGCUGAAGAAAAGUGUGUGGUAAACCAAACGUGAAUAUUCAGAUUUGUGUCAUUGGUUCAUGCUGUUCAUUUGAUUGGUUGCUGUAUAUGUCACUCAGUGUCACCUGUUGGUAAUUGACCAUAGGUAAGGGAGUGAGCGAAAAGGGGGCGGGAAGAGAAAAAAGCGACAACAAGAGAGACGGAAGACUCGACGAGAAGGAGAGAAGAGAACAGAGAGAGAAAUGUGGAGCAAAGUAAAGUUAAGAAGUAAUGACGUUUUGGUAGAUAACUUGCUGAAUGUUUAAGUAACAUAAGAAGCUGUAGCUGAGGACAGUAACAUGCAUUUUUUUCCUAAUCACAGUGGAUUAGGGCGCUUGAGUUUUGCAAGAGUGACUGUGCUAACUAAGCUAAAGCAAGCGAGCUGCUAGCCAAGAGGAAGCCAUUGCUGAACGGGAAGGACUGUUUUGCGCUUCCUGAGGAGGACUUUGCGUUUGCUGCCGUUGGUUUUCAUCUCUUCAUGAACUGUUUCUCCAGGACUUAUUCCAGACCCCAGGAGCAUACGGCAAAAUGUAUUAAACUGAGGGGGGAGAAGGAUGACCUGUUUACAGGGGAAAAAAACUCGGUCUCUGUGGCUUGGAGGAUUGCAAGUGUCCAGGGACAGGUCAGGGCACUGGUGGGACACCCACUGCUGCCACUUGGCCCUGGUUUGUCCUCAUGGAUGAGGUAUUAGGACAGCGGCAUUCCACCAACCCAACUGUCCUAAUUGCCACCAUCCAUGAGGACACACCAGGGCCAAGUACAGCAGUGGGUGACCAGGAGGUGGAGGAGCAGGAUAAGGACGAGGAGGAGGAGGAGGAGGAGGAGGAGGAGGAGGAAAGACAGCCAUGGCCAAAAGGGCCAAAUAGAAAGAGGGGCAGAGAUGAUGAGCUGCUGGACCUCAUAAAGGCGGAUAUGAGGAUGCAGAGGAAGGCAGAGGAGAGGAGAGCCCAGGAGACCAGGGAGAGGAUGGAGAGGCUGUUCUCUCUGCUAGAGAGACUGCCUUGUCUUAUGCCUGAGUGUCUGUCCAUCUGGUGCAACCAAUCCCAGGACAGAAAGGCUCUGCAGUGGGCAAUAAAACUUUCCAGAACGUCAUAG